CCUACGGGAGGCAGCAGUGGGGAAUUUUCCGCAAUGGGCGAAAGCCUGACGGAGCAAUACCGCGUGAGGGAAGACUGCCUAUGGGUUGUAAACCUCUUUUCUCAGGGAGGAAAUCAAUGACGUUACCUGAGGAAUAAGCAUCGGCUAACUCCGUGCCAGCAGCCGCGGUAAU
RNAcentral lists this ribosomal RNA (172 nucleotides) under uncultured bacterium. RNAcentral describes it as "partial 16S ribosomal RNA". It matches the Rfam family "Bacterial small subunit ribosomal RNA", at positions 338 to 524 of the family's 1533-position model. The record is from RNAcentral.